CCCUUAGAUGUUCUGGGCCGCACGCGCGCUACACUGAUGCAUUCAACGAGUCUAAAACCUGCUCUGAUAGGGGUGGGUAAUCUUUUGAAUGUGCAUCGUGAUUGGGAUAGAUGAUUGCAAUUUUUCAUCUUCAACGAGGAAUGCCUAGUAAACGCAAGUCAUCAGCUUGCAUGGAUUACGUCCCUGCCCUUUGUACACACCGCCCGUCGCUCCUACCGAUUGAAUGGUCCGAUGAAUAUCAUGGAUUGAGGAUGCAAGCAGGUUCGCCUGUCUUCAUCUUCGAGAAGUGAAGUAAAUCUUAUCAUUUAGAGGAAGGAGAGGUCGUAACA
RNAcentral lists this ribosomal RNA (329 nucleotides) under uncultured eukaryote. RNAcentral's name for it is "partial 18S ribosomal RNA". It matches the Rfam family "Eukaryotic small subunit ribosomal RNA", at positions 1470 to 1796 of the family's 1831-position model. The record is from RNAcentral.